Molecule: ribosomal RNA, 498 nt
Filed under: uncultured Sporomusa sp.
Lineage: Bacteria; Bacillati; Bacillota; Negativicutes; Selenomonadales; Sporomusaceae
Description: bacterial SSU rRNA
Rfam family: Bacterial small subunit ribosomal RNA
Source: RNAcentral
UAGGGUUUGAUCAUGGCUCAGGACUAACGCUGGCGGUAUGCCUUAGACAUGCAAGUCGAACGAGUUUCCGGGCUUGCUCGGAAAUUAGUGGCAAACGGCUGAGUAACGCGUAGGUGACCUACCCCGUAGUGUGGAAUAACUGCCCGAAAGGGUAGCUAAUACCGCAUGUUGAGCCGACAUCAAUGUCGUCUCCAAAGCAGAAAUGCGCUAUGGGCGGGGCCUGCGUUCGAUUAGCUAGUUGGUGGGGUAAUGGCUCACCAAGGCGACGAUCGAUAGGUGGUCUGAGAGGACGAUCACCCAGACUGGGACUGAGACACGGCCCAGACUCCUACGGGAGGCAGCAGUCGGGAAUUUUGCGCAAUGGGGGAAACCCUGACGCAGCAAUACCGCGUGUGGGAUGAAGGCCUUCGGGUCGUAAACCACUUUUUUCGGGGACGAUAAUGACGGUACCCGAAGAAUAAGCCACGGCUAACUACGUGCCAGCCGCCGCGGUAAUAC